AUCCUGCUGAAGGGUCUCAGAUAGGACGAAACGUGCGUCCUGGAU
Molecule: non-coding RNA, 45 nt
Filed under: Schistosoma mansoni
Lineage: Eukaryota; Metazoa; Platyhelminthes; Trematoda; Strigeidida; Schistosomatidae
Source: RNAcentral